Bubalus bubalis (water buffalo) is the source of this 2862-nucleotide long non-coding RNA. RefSeq lists it as uncharacterized. The transcript is spliced from 2 exons. Lineage: Eukaryota; Metazoa; Chordata; Mammalia; Artiodactyla; Bovidae. The record is from RefSeq and is a predicted model, not a curated record.
GAAAGUGAAGUCGCUCAGUCGUGUCCGACUCUUAGCGACCCCAUGGACUGCAGCCCAGCAGGCUCCUCCAUCCAUGGGAUUUUCCAGGCAAGAGUACUGGGGUGGGGUGCCAUUGCCUCUACUUCACAGAUAAACAUUUAAGUCCUAGCACUGAAGGUCUUCCAUAUGGUUCCCUUUCUUCCCUACCCCUCAGGUUUUCCUCUAUUCAUGAAGGGAAUUCCUCACACAUACCCCAUCUUUUCGGCUCUCUAUUUCCUUUGUUUGAAAUACCAUUGUCACAUUGUCCAGCCAACUCUACCUUUUCUUUCUAUGCUCCCAACAUGAAUGCUGCCAGAUGCACCAUACCCUACAACAGUCUCUCACUUGGACUGUGUUCACGCCUCAUACAUAUGUAUAAGAGAAACCAAAAUUUCAUGAAAUAUUUACUGUGUGUACAAUAUUUUCCAGUUUAUUCUGUUCUAAAAAACCACCUAGAAAAAGUACUCACAAAUACAGGAGUCUGGGUGAGUAAUAUAAGUGAUUAAAAGGGAGGGAUGAGAGACUUUCUUUGUGGUCCAGUGGUUAAUCAGCCUUCCAGUUCAGGGGACACAGUUUUGAUCCCUGGUCAGAGAACUAAGAGCCCACAUGCCUCGCGCCACAAGUACUGAACCCUCACUUAGCCUGUGUGCCGCAACGAAAGAUCCUGUGUGCUCCAACUAAGAACCAACACAGCCAAAUUUUUUUUUUUUUUUUUAAGGGGAGAAAUGGGACUUCCCUGGUGGUCCAGUGGUUAAGACUCCACCCUUCCAUUGCUGGGGGCACAGUUCAAUCCCCGCUCGGGGAUCAUCCUGCAUGCCUCAUAGUGCAGGGGAAAAAAAAACAAAAACGGGAGGGAUGGAAGAAGAGCAGCCCAAACAUGAUGGUUACUGGUGUGUGGCACUGGGCCUCAGUGUCUGGGGGACAAUAGGGAGUCUAGGAAACUUGGAACCAGAGAGCACAGGCCCUGUCUACAGGAACAGUUGCUAUUCAACUGAAACAAUUGCCAGUUUGAAUGCCCAGUGUUACCAUAUCUUUUGAAUUUAGAACAAGUGACAAAUUAAGACAUUUUUGUACAACCUCUCAACUUUUAAGUGUUGUCUGUUAACUCAUUUCAAAAAUUGUAGGCCUUCCCUGGUGGUCCAGUGGUUAAGAAUCCACUUUGCAAUGCAUGGGAAACCGCUUCGAUCCCUGGUCUGGGAAGACCCCACAUGCCAUGGAACAGCUAAGCCCAUGUGUCACAACCACUAAGCCUGAGCUCUAGAGCAGGGGAGGCACAAGUACUGAAGCCUAAGCACCUUGGAGCCCAUGUCCUGCAACGUGAGAAGCCGCUGCAAUGAGGAGUCGGAGAGCCCCCACUCAGCACAAAUUGAGAAAGCCAGAGCACAGCCGGAGCACAGCCACAAAGACCCAGUGCAGCCAACAACAAAAAAAAUUUUUUAAUGUGUCAGUAUAUGCCAAGGCAAUACAGCCACCAGAUGUGGACCUUGGCCUGCAAUUAGCAGCUUCUAAAUUAAGAAAACUAACUUCCCAGGGAAUUAAACUCAACUAAAUCUCAAAGAGAUUGUAUAUCACUACAUUUUGACCUGUAGUUCUUUAGAGCUUGAACCAAGGACAUAAAUGCGAAAGAUUCUUUGCCUUGGAAUUUUCCUGCCUUAAAAAAAAAAAAAAGAUUCCAGUUUCCAUCUUUUUGCCAGUUAUUUAGUUCCUUAUCAACUAUAUCCCCAAAUGGCCUGCCUGCCAUCACCAAGGCUAAAGUGAUACUUCCUUUGGACACUCUAGUUUUAGUGUCUUAGCCAAAAACAGGUUUGUUCACUUACCUCCUCUACUAGAGGUAAAUGAGGUCAAUAAACAGCAUAUCAUUUGCCCUCAGCAUCCAUCCAAUCACUCUUCUCCAAAGUUAAUUUCUGUGUGGCUGUCUUUGUUCCUGCCCAGUUGGAGCAGUGGGUCUGAAGAAUCAAAUUUUCUAUUUUCUUGGAUAACUUAAACUACAAAAUUUCUCACCCGGACAUGUGUGUGUGAGAAUGACUCACCCCUGAGAGUUAAUUGGGGCUAAUUAUGACCAGCCUGACUUGUCACAACAAAACAUCUGGCAUAACUUGCUUACUCUCAGACAGGGGAGCUGCCUCCACCCUCUGAGCACAUGCUUACUCCUGAAGCUCACCAUCUUGAAAACAAAGUGUAUGUCUUUCAACCUGUGAUUAUUCAAAAUAGGAGGGGACUCUGGAAUGCUUGAGUAGGAACUCAGCACACAAUUAAGCCCUGACAAGAGGAAAUCACACGUUGAGGAGAGCAAAAAACAUCCACCUUACCACAUGAUAAAUGGAGACUUCAGCAGUUAAGAAUGAUGAUUACCUUUUUUCCUUUUUUUUUUUUUUUUUCCUAUUUAUAUGCUAACCCUUUACCCAGUGCUCCCACUUGCCAGGGAGGCUGAGUUUCUCAGUUGUGUUUCAGUGAUACUGGUCCAGGCUGGUGUGUGUUCAGCAUUGCAGGAGAGAUUGGAAUAAAUGCUGGAACGCGCAGAAAUUCAACACCUCCCUUCCAGGGAUUCACUCCUCCUUCAACCUGCUUCACAUUUCCUGAAUGAAUACACACCGAACUGAGCACAGCACAUGUACAAUGCAAUUUGGCCAGGACUGUGACCUUUAAGAACAACUACUUGAGACAGGCUUUACAUACAGUAUAAGAUUUAAUCCCCACACGAUCUCCGUUUUAAGGACGAGAAAACGUUUUGAUAAUGUAAAGAGAUUUACUGCCAUUAAAUCAAGAUAAAACGGCUGGUGGCAGAACUGGGAUUCAAACCCACUGAUUGUCACAGCGGCCUCCAAUAAAUGACUACAAAUACCA